Molecule: transfer RNA, 82 nt
Filed under: Synechococcus elongatus PCC 7942 = FACHB-805
Lineage: Bacteria; Bacillati; Cyanobacteriota; Cyanophyceae; Synechococcales; Synechococcaceae
Also listed under: 15 other names
Description: tRNA-Leu (TAG) (tRNA-Leu-TAG-1-1)
Rfam family: tRNA
About the family: Transfer RNA (tRNA) molecules are approximately 80 nucleotides in length. Their secondary structure includes four short double-helical elements and three loops (D, anti-codon, and T loops). Further hydrogen bonds mediate the characteristic L-shaped molecular structure. tRNAs have two regions of fundamental functional importance: the anti-codon, which is responsible for specific mRNA codon recognition, and the 3' end, to which the tRNAs corresponding amino acid is attached (by aminoacyl-tRNA synthetases). tRNAs cope with the degeneracy of the genetic code in two manners: having more than one tRNA (with a specific anti-codon) for a particular amino acid; and 'wobble' base-pairing, i.e. permitting non-standard base-pairing at the 3rd anti-codon position.
Source: Rfam by way of RNAcentral
GCGGACGUGGCGGAAUUGGCAGACGCGCCAGAUUUAGGUUCUGGUACCGCAAGGUGUGAAGGUUCAAGUCCUUUCGUCCGCA